AUCUAACUGACGAGUCCAAAAUAGGACGAAACGCAUGUUUUGGAU
Non-coding RNA from Schistosoma haematobium, 45 nucleotides. NCBI's taxonomy places the organism in Eukaryota, Metazoa, Platyhelminthes, Trematoda, Strigeidida, Schistosomatidae. The record is from Rfam.